AGUGUCGUACGGGUGCGUAACACGUAUGCAACCUACCUUGUACAGGAGUAUAGCUCGGGGAAACUCGAAUUAACCCUCCAUAAUGUAGCGGAGAGGCAUCUCUUUGCUACUAAAACUGAGGUGGUACAAGAUGGGCAUGCGUUUGAUUAGUUAGUUGGCGGUGUAAUGGACUACCAAGACGAUGAUCAAUAGGGGACCUGAGAGGGUGAUCCCCCACACUGGCACUGAGAUACGGGCCAGACUCCUACGGGAGGCAGCAGUAGGGAAUAUUGGACAAUGGGUGAGAGCCUGAUCCAGCCAUGCCGCGUGCAGGAAGAAGGCGUUAUGCGUUGUAAACUGCUUUUGCCAGGGGAUAAAAUGACCGUGCGCGGUUAAUUGAAGGUACCUGGUGAAUAAGCCACGGCUAACUACGUGCCAGCAGCCGCGGUAAUACGUAGGUGGCAAGCGUUGUCCGGAUUUAUUGGGUUUAAAGGGUGCGUAGGUGGCUAACUAAGUCAGUGGUGAAAUAUCUCAGCUUAACUGAGAGGGUGCCAUUGAUACUGGAUAGCUUGAGUACAGAUGAGGUAGGCGGAAUUGACGGUGUAGCGGUGAAAUGCAUAGAUAUCGUCAAGAACACCGAUAGCGAAGGCAGCUUACCAAGCUGUAACUGACACUGAGGCACGAAAGUGUGGGGAUCAAACAGGAUUAGAUACCCUGGUAGUCCACACUGU
This 710-nucleotide ribosomal RNA is filed under the name uncultured Cytophagaceae bacterium. RNAcentral describes it as "bacterial SSU rRNA". It matches the Rfam family "Bacterial small subunit ribosomal RNA", at positions 94 to 803 of the family's 1533-position model. Lineage: Bacteria; Pseudomonadati; Bacteroidota; Cytophagia; Cytophagales; Cytophagaceae. The record is from RNAcentral.